CAGCAGCCGCGGUAAUACGUAGGGUGCGAGCGUUAAUCGGAAUUACUGGGCGUAAAGCGUGCGCAGGCGGUUGUGUAAGACAGGUGUGAAAUCCCCGGGCUUAACCUGGGAACUGCGCUUGUGACUGCACAGCUAGAGUAUGGCAGAAGGGGGUGGAAUUCCACGUGUAGCAGUGAAAUGCGUAGAGAUGUGGAGGAACACCGAUGGCGAAGGCAGCCCCCUGGGCCAAUACUGACGCUCAUGCACGAAAGCGUGGGGAGCAAACAGGAUUAGAUACCCGCGUAGUCCCUGUCUCUUAUAC
This 301-nucleotide ribosomal RNA is filed under the name uncultured bacterium. RNAcentral's name for it is "partial 16S ribosomal RNA". It matches the Rfam family "Bacterial small subunit ribosomal RNA", at positions 509 to 807 of the family's 1533-position model. The record is from RNAcentral.